GGCGGAGUGGUGGAAUGGCAGACACGCUUGACUCAAAAUCAAGUAUCCGCAAGGGUGUGAGGGUUCAAGUCCCUCCUCCGCUACCA
RNAcentral lists this transfer RNA (86 nucleotides) under Mailhella sp. Its description in RNAcentral is "tRNA-Leu". It matches the Rfam family "tRNA". Rfam says of the family: Transfer RNA (tRNA) molecules are approximately 80 nucleotides in length. Their secondary structure includes four short double-helical elements and three loops (D, anti-codon, and T loops). The record is from RNAcentral. Lineage: Bacteria; Pseudomonadati; Thermodesulfobacteriota; Desulfovibrionia; Desulfovibrionales; Desulfovibrionaceae. RNAcentral also lists the same sequence under 3 other names.